UUUCUUUAUCUUUUGAGAAGAAUUCAAGUUGAAGCCUCAAGAAUUAUUGAUGAAUCAAGAUUUUACUUUGUUUCUACCGAUCGUUUUUAUCAAGAGGUGAUAACUCGCGCUCUCAACGUGAUGCAAAUGGAAGAUCGUACUCGAGAUCUAAGCCGUUGAGGUUGAGCAGCGACGAGCGGUUGGCGGUGUUGAGCAAGUUAAUUGAAUAAUAUGGUCGUUUUGAAACUCCGAGUGUAGUUGUGUCUUCAUACAUGACUUCACUCUUCUCUUGGAUGCUUUCGCUGAAACAUGAAACUUCUUAUCGUUUGAUUGUGUUUGAAACUAUUUCAUUUUGUUUAGAAUAUUAAGACAUG
Salvia hispanica is the source of this 353-nucleotide non-coding RNA. The record is from RefSeq and is a predicted model, not a curated record. NCBI's taxonomy places the organism in Eukaryota, Viridiplantae, Streptophyta, Magnoliopsida, Lamiales, Lamiaceae.